Molecule: ribosomal RNA, 26 nt
Filed under: Hebeloma hiemale
Lineage: Eukaryota; Fungi; Basidiomycota; Agaricomycetes; Agaricales; Hymenogastraceae
Description: partial 28S ribosomal RNA
Source: RNAcentral
AUCAGGUAGGACUACCCGCUGAACUU